RNAcentral lists this ribosomal RNA (495 nucleotides) under uncultured bacterium. RNAcentral describes it as "partial 16S ribosomal RNA". It matches the Rfam family "Bacterial small subunit ribosomal RNA", at positions 28 to 507 of the family's 1533-position model. The record is from RNAcentral.
GACGAACGCUGGCGGCGUGCCUAAUACAUGCAAGUAGAACGCUGAAGGAGGAGCUUGCUCUUCUGGAUGAGUUGCGAACGGGUGAGUAACGCGUAGGUAACCUGCCUGGUAGCGGGGGAUAACUAUUGGAAACGAUAGCUAAUACCGCAUAAUAGUAGAUGUUGCAUGAUAUUUACUUAAAAGGUGCAAUUGCACCACUACCAGAUGGACCUGCGUUGUAUUAGCUAGUUGGUGGGGUAACGGCUCACCAAGGCGACGAUACAUAGCCGACCUGAGAGGGUGAUCGGCCACACUGGGACUGAGACACGGCCCAGACUCCUACGGGAGGCAGCAGUAGGGAAUCUUCGGCAAUGGACGAAAGUCUGACCGAGCAACGCCGCGUGAGUGAAGAAGGGUUUCAGAUCGUAAAGCUCUGUUGUAAGAGAAGAACGAGUGUGAGAGUGGAAAGUUCACACUGUGACGGUAUCUUACCAGAAAGGGACGGCUAACUACGUG